Molecule: non-coding RNA, 87 nt
Organism: Flammula alnicola
Lineage: Eukaryota; Fungi; Basidiomycota; Agaricomycetes; Agaricales; Strophariaceae
Source: the annotation of a GenBank genome assembly
UGCCCCAUGGCUUAGUUGGUUACGGCGUCCGACUGUUAUGAUCACAUCGGCAUCGGAAGAUCGAGAGUUCAAGUCUCUCUGGGGCAG